RNAcentral lists this ribosomal RNA (497 nucleotides) under uncultured bacterium. RNAcentral describes it as "partial 16S ribosomal RNA". It matches the Rfam family "Bacterial small subunit ribosomal RNA", at positions 28 to 507 of the family's 1533-position model. The record is from RNAcentral.
GACGAACGCUGGCGGCGUGCCUAAUACAUGCAAGUAGAACGCUGAAGGAAGGAGCUUGCUCUUUCUGGAUGAGUUGCGAACGGGUGAGUAACGCGUAGGUAACCUGCCUGGUAGCGGGGGAUAACUAUUGGAAACGAUAGCUAAUACCGCAUAAAAUUGAUUAUUGCAUGAUAGUCAAUUAAAAGGUGCAACUGCACCACUACCAGAUGGACCUGCGUUGUAUUAGCUAGUUGGUGGGGUAACGGCUCACCAAGGCGACGAUACAUAGCCGACCUGAGAGGGUGGUCGGCCACCCUGGGACUGAGACACGGCCCAGACUCCUACGGGAGGCAGCCGUAGGGAAACUUCGGCAAUGGGCGGAAGUCUGACCGAGCAACGCCGCGUGAGUGAAGAAGGGUUUCGGAUCGUAAAGCUCUGUUGUAAGAGAAGAACGAGUGUGAGAGUGGAAAGUUCACACUGUGACGGUAUCUUACCAGAAAGGGACGGCUAACUACGUG